This 517-nucleotide ribosomal RNA is filed under the name Nanorana phrynoides. Its description in RNAcentral is "partial 16S ribosomal RNA". It matches the Rfam family "Bacterial large subunit ribosomal RNA", at positions 1921 to 2606 of the family's 2925-position model. The record is from RNAcentral. Lineage: Eukaryota; Metazoa; Chordata; Amphibia; Anura; Dicroglossidae.
AGUUAAACGGCCGCGGUAUUCUGACCGUGCGAAGGUAGCAUAAUCACUUGUUCUUUAAAUAAGGACUAGUAUCAACGGCAUCACGAGGGUUAUACUGUCUCCUCUUUUCAAUCAGUGAAACUGAUCUCCCCGUGAAGAAGCGGGGAUAAACCUAUAAGACGAGAAGACCCCAUGGAGCUUUAAACUCAACAACAACUCCCUCUAUAAAGUACUACAUAUUAUGGAAGUCCUGUCUGUUAGUUUUGGGUUGGGGUGACCGCGGAGAAAAACUUAACCUCCACGAUGAACGGAAUUAACUCCUAAUCUAAGAGCCACUACUCUAAGAAUCAAUAAAUUGACAUAAACUGAUCCGAUAAUCGAUCAACGAACCAAGUUACCCUGGGGAUAACAGCGCAAUCCAUUUCAAGAGCCCCUAUCGACAAAUGGGUUUACGACCUCGAUGUUGGAUCAGGGUAUCCCAGUGGUGCAGCCGCUACUAAAGGUUUGUUUGUUCAACAAUUAAAACCCUACGUGAUCU